RNAcentral lists this ribosomal RNA (561 nucleotides) under uncultured bacterium. Its description in RNAcentral is "partial 16S ribosomal RNA". It matches the Rfam family "Bacterial small subunit ribosomal RNA", at positions 355 to 905 of the family's 1533-position model. The record is from RNAcentral.
UGAGGAAUAUUGCGCAAUGGGCGAAAGCCUGACGCAGCGGCGCCGCGUGGAGGAUGAAGGUUUUCGGAUUGUAAACUCCUGUUAAGUGGGAAGAAACGACAAAAUAUAAUACAUUUUGUAACUGACGGUACCAUUAAAAGAAAGCACCGGCUAACUUCGUGCCAGCAGCCGCGGUAAUACGAGGGGUGCAAGCGUUAUUCGGAAUUAUUGGGCGUAAAGGGUGCGUAGGCGGCGUAUUAAGUCAACUGUUAAAACCUCCAGCCUAACUGGAGAUCAGCAGUAGAUACUGGUAUGCUAGAGGAUGGAAGAGAGAAGUGGAAUUCUUGGAGUAGCGGUGGAAUGCGUAGAUCUCAAGAGGAACACCAAUGGCGAAGGCAGCUUCUUGGUCCAUAUCUGACGCUGAUGCACGAAAGCGUGGGGAGCAAAACAGGAUUAGAUACCCUGGUAGUCCACGCCGUAAACGAUGAUCACUAGAUGUUAAUUCUGCUUGCAGAAUUAGUGUCGUAGCUAACGCGAUAAGUGAUCCGCCUGGGGACUACGGUCGCAAGAUUAAAACUCAAA